GGGCACCGUGAGCUGGGCCAGAGCGGACGCCGAGGCUGAGGAGACGCCGAGAGCGAGCGAGGGCUGCUAGCACGUUGUCGCCUCUCAGUGCCAUCCUUGGCCGUCUGGUAGCAGCUGUAAUGAAUAAAGGACUAAAGAAAAACCGUAAGAAAAAGAACCUUCCCGGUUAUUUCAUCGUAGCUGCGCUGGAAACAAUAUUUGAAACUGAGUACAAUGCAGAAAUAGCAGCUCAGAGAGGCAACUGACCUGCCCACAGCCCCAGGAACCAGGUCUAGAGGGACCCUGCUGUAUCUUUGCCUGAGAGAUGGAGCUGUCUGUUACCGGCACAGCCUGAAGGGGAAGAAGACCAUGGAGCUGCCUCACCUGCUAACUCUUCUCGAUUGAACCAGCUCUCCACUUGGGAAUUUGACUGCAACAUGCCUUCUCAGGACACCAGGCAUCCUAGCCUUAAGGAGGGCACAGGUACAUUUUCCUAGGCCAAAUUAAUAUGGAUUUUGAAUUACCUUCUAUUGUUCAGAAAGAUCCUUUCUGCAUUGGUGGCUUUGACAUUUCCCAGGCUGCAAGAGCCAUGGAUCUACUCUGACAGCUGCGUUGGAGAAGGUUCUGAAAGUCUUCUUUACAUCCCUAACCAGACAGGUCAUCAGGAAACUCCUCCAACAAGCGCUGAC
Molecule: long non-coding RNA, 668 nt
Filed under: Cercocebus atys (sooty mangabey)
Lineage: Eukaryota; Metazoa; Chordata; Mammalia; Primates; Cercopithecidae
Description: lncRNA (ENSCATG00000045767.1)
Source: RNAcentral